AUGCUUAACCAACUGAGCCACCCAGAUAGCAGAAGUAUAAGGAAAACAAGGUAUCUUGGUUUAUGGAUUGACACUGAAGAGCUAUGGGCUAAUAUAUCUGGCACUGACUUUUGACAUUAUUUGCUGAGACAGAUCAUGAAUUCUGAAAAUGCUGAAU
RNAcentral lists this long non-coding RNA (157 nucleotides) under Mustela putorius furo (domestic ferret). Its description in RNAcentral is "lncRNA (ENSMPUG00000029932.1)". Lineage: Eukaryota; Metazoa; Chordata; Mammalia; Carnivora; Mustelidae. The record is from RNAcentral.